Molecule: long non-coding RNA, 276 nt
Filed under: Vulpes vulpes (red fox)
Lineage: Eukaryota; Metazoa; Chordata; Mammalia; Carnivora; Canidae
Description: lncRNA (ENSVVUG00000011457.1)
Source: RNAcentral
AUGUGGGGCUGGACUGGGUCCGACGCAGAAACCGUCUGGAGUCCGUUAUUCUGGGUCCACUCGGAAACCAGGAAGGGGUGGGUGGGUCCCGGCUGGAUUGGGUCUGCCUUAAGCUGGACCGGCACCAGCGUGAGGCAUCCGGUGAGAAGAUUAAAGCUGUAUUCUCAUAGCCACUUGCCUGUAGCUUUUCAAACAAAAGGCAAUGUUGCCAUGACCUUCAUCCACACUAAUACACAUGCAAUUUUCUAUUCUGAGUGCACAUUUAAAUCCACAUAA